Molecule: ribosomal RNA, 253 nt
Filed under: uncultured bacterium
Lineage: Bacteria
Description: partial 16S ribosomal RNA
Rfam family: Bacterial small subunit ribosomal RNA
Source: RNAcentral
UACGAAAGGUGCAAGCGUUGUUCGGAAUCACUGGGCGUAAAGCGCACGUAGGCGGGUUUGUAUGUCGAUUGUGAAAUCCCUGGGCUCAACCUAGGAACUGCAGUCGAAACUGCAAAUCUUGAAUGCCUGAGAGGAUGGGGGAAUUCCUGGUGGAGAAGUGAAAUUCGUAGAUAUCAGGAGGAACACCUGAGGCGAAGGCGCCUGUCUGGCAGUGCAUUGACGCUGAGGUGCGAAAGCGUGGGGAGCAAACAGG